RNAcentral lists this ribosomal RNA (97 nucleotides) under uncultured bacterium. RNAcentral's name for it is "partial 16S ribosomal RNA". It matches the Rfam family "Bacterial small subunit ribosomal RNA", at positions 1388 to 1482 of the family's 1533-position model. The record is from RNAcentral.
CACCGCCCGUCACAUCACGAAAGUGGACUGUACUAGAAGUCGGUGCGCUAACCCGCAAGGGAGGCAGCCGCCCAAGGUAUAGUCCAUGAUUGGGGUG